This 3213-nucleotide long non-coding RNA is filed under the name Canis lupus familiaris (dog). Its description in RNAcentral is "lncRNA (ENSCAFG00000050833.1)". Lineage: Eukaryota; Metazoa; Chordata; Mammalia; Carnivora; Canidae. The record is from RNAcentral.
GGGCCAUAGAACCCUGAGAUCAUGACCUGAGCAGAAAUCGAGAGUUGGAUGCUCAACUAACUGAGCCACCCAGGUGCACCCUGGUUGUUAUUAAUUAUUACCAUUUUGAUAAUCAUUCAUAGUUUAGGUAGGCAUUUUAGACAUUAGUAAAUUUAAUAGCAAAGUUUUCGUUGUUGAGAUAUUUGUGUUUCAUUUGCACAGUUAAUCAUCGUCUUGGUUGUCAUUGGCCUGGAAGGGAAUUUUUCUUUUAAAGUUAUUAGUUUAUUUAGGAUUUAUGCAAUUCCCUCUCCUACCUCCAGAAAAGAUUUAGGUGGCUGGCUUUUCAUUUCUAAAGUUUUAAUAAGAGAAUUAAAAAUAAAUAACUCAAGUGCCUUAACCAUUUUUCAGGCCCUGGGUUUUUCGUGCUUGCUUACAGGUUGACAGUUUGCAAAUCGGAAUGGAGAUUUGAUAUAGGCUGGGGUAAGGAGAUGGAUUCUCAUCUAGUGACUAGAGUACUGAAUUGAAAUUUUAGAAAAAACUUGGAUUCUUUGUUUAACUGUGUCACAGAUUUGCCAUAACUGUAGGCAAACUAUUUGAUUCUUUUCUUAUUUUUAUUUUGUGUUUGUAAUCUCCUUGAUUCACAGUAGCUUAUAAGAAUUAAUAUGAAUGUUUAUAAAUAGCAUAUAUUUACCUUGGACGAAAAGGGCUAUGUAUAAACUAUAUCUUAUUCUAUUUUUGUUGGUUUGGGGCAGGGUUUUUAGCCUUAUCUGCGUAUCACAAACCCUGAGAGCCUGUAAUAUAUUCAGAUCCAAGGCAUCACUCUCCUAUCCUAAGAGCCUGAUUCCUUUGGGACCCUAACGUUGUGUGUGUGUGUGUGUGUGUGUGUGUGUGUGUGUGUGUGUGUAUGCCUGUCUGGUUGUCUAUGUAUCUGUCUAUCUACGUAUCUAUCUAAACUCCACAGGUGGUCCUAACCUGCAGCUAGAUGGAAAAUAUUGGCAUAAAAGAAACACCCAAUCUGUGUACUUGGUUCUUUCUCUUACACUGUGUCUAUUGACCAUUUUGUUGCUUAUUAAAUAUGGGCAGAUCUAUUAGUUUUCUACGGCUGCUAUAACAAAUUGCCGCAAACUUGGUCACUUAAAAUAACACAUUUAUUAUGUGAUAGUUCUGGAAGUCAGAGACCCAAAAUGGUUUUAAAAGGCUAAAAUCAAAUUAUUGGCAGGGCUGAUUCCUUCUGGAAGCUCUAAAGGAGAAUUUGUUUCCUUGUCUCUUCUAGCUUCUAGAGGCUUUCUGCACUCCUUGACUCCUGGCCCCACAUUCCUACCUCUGCUUUUGUCAUUACAUUCUCCUCUGAUUUUACCUACCUUCAUCUACAAGGACCUUUGUAAUUACAUUAGACACACCUGGAUAAUACAAGAUAAUCUCCCCAUCCCCUGGAAUACAGGAUAAACUUCCCAUCCAAGACCCUUAAUCACAUCUACAAGGUCCCGUUUAUCAGGUAAGGAAAUAUAAUCACAGGUUCUGGGGAUUAGGACAUGGACAUAUUUGGGAGAGGCUAUUGUUCUGUCUACUGCAGCAGGAAAAAAAAUUCAGACCCUCCCAUUUUUCUCAUUUAAGUGCAGAAAACUCUGAGUCAGCCACAUCUCUUUUCUACAGUUGCUGAUAAGCAAGAGAGGGACAUUUUCAAAGGCUGGAAGUGAUGAUACCAUAUUUAGAAAUUUUAUUUUAUUGAUUUUUUUAGAAGGCUACCAAUUUUUAAAUUUUCACAUGCCUAGGAACUUGUUUCAGAAAUGGAUUGCAUAACAUUUGAAUCUCAUCAGCUAUGAAACCGUGCAUUGCUAAAGUUUCCCUCAGGUAGAGUACUUUUCUGUCACUAAAACAGUAAUUCUCAACAGAGUGUGUAUUCAGCCCCUAGAUAGGAGAAGUUGAGAUUCCUAACCAUAAGGUCAAGGUCAAAGAACUCACUCCUAAUGGUCAAUAUAUUUGUAUUUCAAUAUAACUGAUUUCCUUGUAAUUCUUUUUUUUUUUUUUUUGCUAUAUGCAAAUAAAAACAUUGUUCUAUAAUGGGGUCCACAGGCUUCACCAGAAUACCAAACGAGUUCUCGUGGCAUUAAAAUGAUUAGGAACUCCAAUGAGAGGCCAACAAACAGGAUCCUAAGAGAAUUGUGUCACCAAAAAGAUGAUCAUGGGAUGGAGGAAGCUGCCCAGGGGAAGGGGAAGCUCCUGGCAAUGGUUUUUUCAAUUCUCACUGCUUAUUGGGAUGAUGAGCAGAAGGUGGGUAGUGCCUCUUAAAACUAUCAGUGCCUGGGACACACCAACAGAUUCUGGUUUGAUUGUUCAUGGGAGGGUUCUACAUCUGUCGUGAAAGAAGUGAUGCUGAGUUUGGUCUUGUGAAAGUGAAGUAGAAUGGAAAGACCUGUGAGAAGUUAAGGGCUCAGUAAAGGAACUGGAAAUGGUUACACAGACACCGGCAGAAAGUCCAUUAGCUCCUCCUGCCUCUGCCCUGGUUCUGCUGCCAAACACUGUCUGCUGAAGACUCUGUGACCUAUGAGCAGGAUAGAACCAAAUUUAGACACUUGGCAACUCAACCACUUAGCCAGCUCAUUUCCUAGUAGGGAAUACAGGUUUCUAAUAGUGAAGAAUGUGGGCCUGAGCCAAACUGCUUGGGGGCUAAAACCCUGCUCCCCUGCUUAUUAGCUAUGUGACAUUUGGAAAUGUGCUUAAUCGCUUUGCUUUAGUUUUCUCACCAAUAGAAUCACUUCCUAAGAUAGUGCCGACAGCUAAAUGGGGUAGGCUACUUUUGUUGGCUCCAUUCACAGAUGGUACUUAGAGAUAACAAUAUCAUAGCUGGUGUCACUGACUGAAUGUGCCCCCCUCAAAGUACAUAUGUUCAACCCCUAACCCCCGAUGUCACAGUAUUAGGCAGUGUGGAAUCUUUGGGGGGGGGGGUAAUUAGUUUAGAUGAGGUCAUGAGAGUGGAGCCCUAAUGAUGGGAUUAGUGUCCUUAUAAGAACAAAAAAAGAGCUGGGGAUCCCUGGCUGGCUCAGCGGUUUAGCACCUGCCUUCGGCCCAGGGCAUGAUUCUAGAGUCCUGGGAUCAAGUCCCACAUCAAGCUCCCUGCAUGGAGCCUGCUUCUCCCUCUGCCUGUGUCUCUGCCUCUGUGUGUGUGUGUGUGUGUGUGUGUAUGUGUGUGUGACUCAUGAAUAAAUAAAUGAAAUCUUAAAAAAAAAAAAAAAA